UUUCUCAUUUCUAGAGUGGCAGUACUAAUAGUCCUGAACCUAUAGGAGUUUUAUGAGUGUUAAAUGAGAUAAUGAUACAGGUUUUGUUUUGUUUUAUCUAAUUUCUGUUAUAGUGCAAAAUAACAUUAUUAUUUAGAAGUAUUUCUUCAGCUGUGCCCAUGGCAUAUGGAAGUUCUGGGCAGGGGUUAAAUCCAGGCCAUGGCAGAGACCUGAGCCACAGCAAUAACAACACUGGAUCCUUAACCCAUCGUGCUGCAAAGGAACUACUUUUCUAAUUAAAAAAUUAUUAUUAUUAUUAUUCUGUGUCUCUUCAGCCUUAACACAUAGUAAACAUUCAAUAAACAUUUACUUUCAAAUGAAUGAAUGAGGUUGCUCUAAUGUAAGAGGGAACAAAGGAAUGAUUAAUAAAGGACAAAGAAAAUUACUGUAGGAGAUGGAGAGAUUCAAUUUGGACCUUGGCUGCAAAUCAAGACCUGGGGUCCACAUAUGGCCUGGGUCAGAUUGGCAAGGACUUGCAUCCUAGAAGUCUGAUGUAUUUAUGCAGAGAGCUUUGAAUUAAAGACUAUGUAUAGGGGUUUGCCGAUAAGCUGGGGUGCGGGAGCAGGAGAAGGAAAUGAAGCUCAAAGCCUGCUUUUGAAAGUCCCCAAGGGUGCAGCCUUACCCCAAGUGCACAAGGAUUAAGGAAGAAGUUGGGAGCUUUGUUAGGUCUCAGAGUAAAGGAAAAGGGCUUUCAUUUUGCCUGAGGGAGAACAGCCGACUGUUUUUCCCAAAGACCUUGUUUGAAAUUAAGGUCUUGGAACACUGGAUUCAAUUAACUACCAUUUUAGGAACCUUGGGGAGUCUAACUUGCCAUGUGCUUCAUUUUCCUUUACAAAUCACCUCCUGUUUUCUUGCCUUCAUAUUUCCCCCUUCUCCAGAGAAUUCCAUUCUUGGGACUGGGUCAAGAAAUUCUGUUCUUUACCCUGGGUUAAAAGUGGAAAACGUUGGGCAGGUUUUGGGGUCAAAGUCGAUUUGCUGUCAGUUCGGGCUAGAGUCCUGAUUGCAUGUGCAUUUUUGUGUCUACCCAUAUGUGUAUACACGUAUUUACGCAUGCCUGUAUGUAUGCAUCUAUCUAAACAGCAGUUGGCAGCGUUAAUUUUUCAAUUUAAUAUAAGACUUUUUUUUUUUUUUUAAACAGACCCUAUUUCCAUCUCUAUUCUGGGACCAUGUGGAAUCAGAGAUAAAUUAGACCACAUCUUUGUCCUAGGAGUUCACAGUCAAGCUGAGGCGGACAGACUGACAAAUUGAUAAAUGCUUCAACAUUGGUAGGUGCUAUAAAUAAUUGUGGUCCUGAAGUCUACAUGAAAUUUGGAGAACACUGGAGGGAGCCUAGAGGGUGGUUAAGGAUGGAUUGAGUCAGGCCAGGCUUCCUAGAGAGUCGUUGCUUCCUUCAGCUAAAUCUUGUAGUGUGCAGGGGCUGGCCAGGCACAGAUCUGUACAAAGAUGCAGGGCGGCUAAGCAAGGCACAACGUAUCUCUAGAAUAAAUUGGAAUAAGAUGCCAAUUGACUUAAGUUUCUACAUGUGGUUCCUUUUGUGUUUGGAGGGUCUCCCUCUUAUUUGAUACAAGCAGUAAAACGUUGGUUUUUAAUUUAAUAUAUUACAAAAAAAUUAGAGUUCCUCUUUAGUGGUAAGAAACACAGGUUUCUUCUUUAAUAUAGUAUGGGUAAGCACAGGGGGGAAAUAGAAAGUGGACAGGGUUCAUUGCUCUGCAUUAGAAAGAGAGAGGGGGCCCCAAAAGCUGUUGUAGUGGCAAUGAGGACAGAAGGAAGAGCUGGGAAAAGGCCCGGCCCUGCUCUGGCCAAGAGAAGAUGCUUCUAAGCCAAGACUUGUUGAAUAGGGCUGGUCCCCAUCACACACUCUGUUCCAUGUGAUAUGAAUGCUCUCCCCAUCUUCUCUCUGAAAUGUUGAGUAGAUUCUCCCUUAUAGGAGUGGCGUUUUCUUUUAGGAGAGUUUGAAGAAGAAGGUGAAGGGGUAAAUAAUACAUUAUUAACUGGCUUAAAGAAGAAGGCACUUAACACCUUGAUUAAUAGGAAAGCAUUUUCUCUCCACUGAGGCCAAUAAAUACUGAAAAAUGUUUGGAGUUCCCAUCAUGGCUCAGUGGUUAACGAAUACAACUAGGAACCAUGAGGUUGUGGGUUCGAUCCCUGGCCUUGCUCAGUGGGUUAAGGAUCCAGCAUUGCCGUGAGCUGUGGUGUAGGUUGCAUAUGCGGCUGGGAUCUCAUGUUGCUGUGGCUCUGGAGUGGGCUGGCGGCUACAGCUCCGAUUCAACCCCUAGCCUGGGAACCUCCAUAUGCCACAGGAAUGCCCAAGAAAUGGCAAAAAGAAAAAUGGAGUAAGACGUCCAAAGCCUGAGAGCUGUGGCCCUGCAUUUGGAGACAAGCGAGUGGUUGGGUAGAGCUGGGAGAGAAAGCCCGUGCUUAGAGUGGGUGGCAGUGAAGAGGAGAGAUGGGGAGGAGCUGCAUCCUGAAGGUGCUGGAAUCCUUGUAGAGAAGAUUCUUUGCAUCCCACUAGAGUCUAAUGGAUGUGGAGAGCUGCUCAAGAAGUCUCUAUCCAGGAGGGUAAUGUGUAUAGAUCCUGGAGAACUGCUGGGAAGGUAGAUCCCUCUUCAUUAGCAUCUUACAGAUUAUGAAGAACUCCUACAAGAAACAUGUACAUGGUUCAUGUGCACUGCUCUGUUUUUUGGAAUGGGAAUCUGAGAUCUAGAGAGUGGACAUGUUCUUGCCCAAAGGCAUUCAGUUAAAUGUGACAGAAUGACUUACGUUGAGCUAAAAUUUGUCUCUCUGUAGUUCCUCUCAGUUUACUCUCUAUUGUAAUGAACAGAAAAGGGUCUUUUUUUUUUUUUUUUUUUUUUGUCUUUUCUAGGGCUGCACCCGUGGCAUAUGGAGGUUCCCAGGCUAGGGGUCUAAUUGGAGCUGUAGCUACCGGCCUACACCACAGCCAUGGCAAUGCCAGAUCUGAGCCGCAGCCGGACCUACACCACAGUUCAUGGCAACACCAGAUCCUUAACCUACUGAGUGAGGCCAGGGAUCAAACCUGAAACCUCAUGGUUCUUAGUUGGAUUCGUUAACCACUGAGCCACGACGGGAAAGGGUCUUUAAGCGUGUUGUAGUCAGGGUACAACCUGGGGAGCUGGGAGACAGGAUUAGGUUGAUAUGUGCUUGAGCUACAACUUCAUCACCUGCUAUCUGUAGGACCUCAAGUGAGUUUUCCAAUCUUUCUGAGCUCCCUGAGUAUUGUAGAUUUUUAGCUGAAAAAAAAAAAAAAAAGCGAAUAUUGGAGUUGGAGUUUCCAUCAUGGUGCAGCAGAAAUGAAUCCGACUAGGAACCAUGACGUUGCGGGUUCGAUCCUGCGGCCUUGCUCAGUGGGCUAAGGAUCCAGCAUUGCCAUGAGCUGUGGCGUAGGUCGCAGACGUGGCUGGAAUCUGGCAUUGCUGUGGCCCUGGCGUAGGCUGGCGGCUACAGCUGUGAUUGAACCCUUAGCCUGGGAAGCUCCAUAUGCCACAGGUGUGGUC
Molecule: long non-coding RNA, 3551 nt
Filed under: Sus scrofa (pig)
Lineage: Eukaryota; Metazoa; Chordata; Mammalia; Artiodactyla; Suidae
Description: lncRNA (ENSSSCG00040075826.1)
Source: RNAcentral